This 1408-nucleotide long non-coding RNA is filed under the name Fukomys damarensis (Damara mole-rat). Its description in RNAcentral is "lncRNA (ENSFDAG00000031308.1)". Lineage: Eukaryota; Metazoa; Chordata; Mammalia; Rodentia; Bathyergidae. The record is from RNAcentral.
AGCAGGUUAAAAUCUCAUCAGUCCAUUCCUUCUGUGCUUCCGCUGUGUCCUGGCGAACUCUGCAUCGGCUGCUGGCUGGAGGUGAGAAUAGGCCUGAUGCCUGGGGAGCGGGGAGGAACCCUGCCCGCCAGGUGAUGGAGCUGGCAGGUGUGGUCACACCUGGGAGAGUUUUGCCCAGCCACAGGUAGGAGGUGCAGGGACCCCAUGGGGCCCGGUGUCAGCAGCCGAUUCCCAUCCGGAGUCAGGGAAGGCACUGGGCUCGUGGCCGGACCAACCUUCCUAUAGUAGGAGAGGAGCGGGGCGUGGCUGUGACGGACAACUGCUGUGUGGGGCAGCGGCCCCUGUGCCAACUUACUCACAACACCUGUCAUCACGUGCUGUGAACGCGGCUCUCUGUUAUGAUUAAUUUAUGCUCGUGUGUCGUAAGCCAGCACAGACUAUUUUGAAGCCAUCACGCGGAGUCUCUUGCUGAGGAGAACACUUCCCGUGGACAACUUUUACCCAGCGUGCUCCCCUGUGAUGGGACGAGCUGCGAACGCCCUGAUUUCCUAAGAAUGGAUGUGCACUUGCAAACCAAGACGGAAGGGAGUCCAGGUGAACGACGCGCCCAGCGCCUGGUCCUCACUUCAGUCCUUCCCUGGGGCUGCUUUACCGGAGGCUUCGAAGCUGACGUCGCAGCUCACUGCCAUGUUAACUUCCUACCUGACAGUGCCGGAGGCCGGAUGCCUGGAAUGUGUGCCCUGGUGUCAGAGCUGGGCUCUUCCCGAGCCAGCCACCGCUCCACCGUCCCAUCGCUCCCCACCCUGCUCUCCAGCCUCCGGCCACCCCGGCUCACUUCCGCAAACCAGGACCAACACACUGUGAGGACCUGGUAGGUCAGGCGUCCUUGGUGGAAAGGAAGGAGUAAGAGGAAAAGUCUGGUCUGGGAGCAAAGAAGAAGAAGAAAGCUGCACUGUGCAGCUAAUGCUGAAACACGGGCUCCAGAACCAGAUCUUAUGGACCUCAAUCCUGGCCCCGACAAUUGUAGCCUGACCUGGGCAGAGGUUCUGUCUCUCUACCCAGAAGUUCGGGAUCCAGGCUCUGAGCCUCACAGGCUGUCGCCACCCACACUCCAAGAGAUUCUUAUUGGCUCAAAGGUAGUCAGGUGCUCACUUCGGAGCCAAUCCAAUAUCUCCUCAGUCAGGAGCUAGCCCUAGAAACGUGGCUGCUGGAGGGAGUAUUCAACCCUGUGUCUAAUCCUGUCCUGGGCCCAGCUAGGCCAGGAGAGGUACCUUGAGUCUGGAACUGGGAACUGGGAACUGGGAACUGUUCGGAUUUCAACUGUCCUACUCUACUAGUCCCAGGCAUUUGCAAAACGCAAAUUCUCUGAAAUUCUAGUUUUUGACACCCAAAUGAUAAGCCAUUAAUG